GUCCUAUUACGUUGGCCAUGCCUCUGGUAUGCACUGGUCUCACUGAUUCCUCCUUCCUGAUGAGCCGUAAUGCCAUUAAUUUGGUGUUGCGGGGAAUUUGGACUGUUACUUUGAAAAAAUUAGAGUGUUUAAAGCAAGCUAACGCUUGAAUACAUUAGCAUGGAAUAAUGAAAUAGGACGUUCGAUCCUAUUUUGUUGGUUUCUAGGAUUGACGUA
This 216-nucleotide ribosomal RNA is filed under the name Campeiostachys nutans. Its description in RNAcentral is "Elymus nutans partial small subunit ribosomal RNA". The stretch from base 40 to 216 matches the Rfam family "Eukaryotic small subunit ribosomal RNA", at positions 686 to 864 of the family's 1831-position model. Lineage: Eukaryota; Viridiplantae; Streptophyta; Magnoliopsida; Poales; Poaceae. The record is from RNAcentral.